This 630-nucleotide unclassified non-coding RNA is filed under the name Centaurea argecillensis. RNAcentral describes it as "partial external transcribed spacer". The record is from RNAcentral. Lineage: Eukaryota; Viridiplantae; Streptophyta; Magnoliopsida; Asterales; Asteraceae.
UGCCCCUCACUUGUCAAUACGUCUAGAUCAGCCAGGGCGUCGGCAUGUGUAACGUAUUAUGUUGGGCUCUCUCGAGAUAAGGAUACGAUGUCCCUUUAUCGGUUGGUUUCCUGUGUGCGCGGCCCGUUCGUUUUUUUGUUACUUCGCAUCGUUCGGUGCAUUCUGGGGGCUGUGUUGGCUUUUGGUGGCUUGCUUGGCCUUUUGGCUUUGCUUGUUGCUACUUGUCGGGCUGCUUUCGGGAAUGUCGACCGUGGAGGUGCAUGAGUGGUGUUUGGUUUGUUACGUGUGGAUGGCUGUUUGCUUGUGCAACAACGUUCACGCUGCAUACCUCUUCAGUUUUGCGGCAAGGCUUGGUUUGGCUUGUGCAUAUUGUGGGUUUCCUGUGUUGCAUACCUAGUUGAUGGAAAAGUGUGGGUUUUACUAUUUUCAUUUUCGUCUUGCGUCGUUCUUUCGGCGUGGGAUGAACAAUGAAGCGAUCUUUAUGAUCCAUCGUGCUGUUGCGUUUGCAACAAUGAUGUGGCCUAUGAAGCAUCGUUUGGUCUCUUGUAUACGGAAGCUCAUUUGGGCUUGGGUCUUUAUAAGAUCUUCGUUACGCCCUUGUUAAGCGUUCUCGCUUCUCCUAAACGAUUG